GAUGAACGCUGGCGGCGUGCCUAAUACAUGCAAGUCGAGCGAACAGACGAGGAGCUUGCUCCUCUGACGUUAGCGGCGGACGGGUGAGUAACACGUGGAUAACCUACCUAUAAGACUGGGAUAACUUCGGGAAACCGGAGCUAAUACCGGAUAAUAUAUUGAACCGCAUGGUUCAAUAGUGAAAGACGGUUUUGCUGUAACUUAUAGAUGGAUCCGCGCCGCAUUAGCUAGUUGGUAAGGUAACGGCUUACCAAGGCAACGAUGCGUAGCCGACCUGAGAGGGUGAUCGGCCACACUGGAACUGAGACACGGUCCAGACUCCUACGGGAGGCAGCAGUAGGGAAUCUUCCGCAAAGGGCGAAAGCCUGACGGAGCAACGCCGCGUGAGUGAUGAAGGUCUUCGGAUCGUAAAACUCUGUUAUUAGGGAAGAACAAAUGUGUAAGUAACUAUGCACGUCUUGACGGUACCUAAUCAGAAAGCCACGGCUAACUACGUG
This 497-nucleotide ribosomal RNA is filed under the name uncultured bacterium. Its description in RNAcentral is "partial 16S ribosomal RNA". It matches the Rfam family "Bacterial small subunit ribosomal RNA", at positions 28 to 507 of the family's 1533-position model. The record is from RNAcentral.